GUUCUCUCCGGAGACACGUAUAUUAAAAUUGGAACGAUACAGAGAAGAUUAGCAUGGCCCCUGCGCAAGG
Molecule: small nuclear RNA, 70 nt
Filed under: Clytia hemisphaerica
Lineage: Eukaryota; Metazoa; Cnidaria; Hydrozoa; Leptothecata; Clytiidae
Source: RNAcentral